CUGAAACUACGCCUGUAUGAAGUCGGAAUUGCUAGUAAUCGCGGAUCAGCAUGCCGCGGUGAAUACGUUCCCGGGCCUUGUACACACCGCCCGUCACACCAUGAGAGUUGGCAACACCCGAAGUCAGUAGCCUAACCGCAAGGGGGGCGCUGCCGAAGGUGGGGUUGAUGAUUGGGGUGAAGUCGUAACAAGGUACC
RNAcentral lists this ribosomal RNA (197 nucleotides) under uncultured bacterium. RNAcentral describes it as "partial 16S ribosomal RNA". It matches the Rfam family "Bacterial small subunit ribosomal RNA", at positions 1305 to 1500 of the family's 1533-position model. The record is from RNAcentral.